Molecule: non-coding RNA, 91 nt
Organism: Mycena galopus ATCC 62051
Lineage: Eukaryota; Fungi; Basidiomycota; Agaricomycetes; Agaricales; Mycenaceae
Source: the annotation of a GenBank genome assembly
GUUCCUGUGGAGCAUGGUAGCUCGCCUCCUUACCCUAUAGGGCUUGGGCGUGUUCAAGGAAGAACCGGUGGUUCGAUUCCGCCCAGGGACC